UACGAAGGGGGCUAGCGUUGCUCGGAAUCACUGGGCGUAAAGGGCGCGUAGGCGGCCAUUCAAGUCGGGGGUGAAAGCCCAGGGCUCAACCCUGGAAUUGCCUUCGAUACUGUUUGGCUAGAGACCGGAAGAGGUAAGUGGAACUGCGAGUGUAGAGGUGAAAUUCGUAGAUAUUCGCAAGAACACCAGUGGCGAAGGCGGCUCACUGGCCCGAUACUGACGCUGAGGUGCGAAAGCGUGGGGAGCAAACAGG
Molecule: ribosomal RNA, 253 nt
Filed under: uncultured bacterium
Lineage: Bacteria
Description: partial 16S ribosomal RNA
Rfam family: Bacterial small subunit ribosomal RNA
Source: RNAcentral